CACGGCUUUUUUUUUUUUUUCCUGGCUAGGAAGUAUUUACAUUUGAAAGAGAGAAUUCAGUCUGAUAGCCCAACUACUAGUCAUCUAAGAGGUUGCCAGAAACCAGUGUCCUAGCAAAUAUGUUGACUGGACAAGCCCAGGACUUACUUGAGAGGACAGAGCUGGAAUUCUGAGGACAACCAAUGACGACAUUGUUCUCUAUGUGCCCACAGGAAGGGCCCAAGUGCUAGCCUGGUGAUGGGCCUGGCCGAGGAGGACGUGCGAUCUGGGGUCAUUAAGAGCUCCUCAUUGAUCCUGGAAAUGCAGUGUGUUUUUAAGUGGAUUGGUUUUACCAGUGAGCAUUAGAAGUGUUUGAGGAUGCUGCACAUGCCUGAUGAACGACCGUGCCCACGCCGUGAAGGAGCAGGGCAGAAACUUCCGCUCAACAGGAUCUGGUGCUCAGACGCAGGCAGGACGGCCGUGCGUACCUGAAGCAGCCUCUUGGUGGGAAUCCCACCGGCACCUUAGUGUGGGUGUCACUCACUUGGUGUGUGUGUCACUCACUUUGAGGCCUCUAGGAUUCUCCAGAAAGAAACCUCUGAGGAUGGGAGACUGGUUGGAGCAGCCGCCAAGUGCCAAGGAGAGCUGCCAGGUGCAGAGGGAAAAGGAAGUUGUCAGUCAAGGUCCCAGCAGAAAUUCACCCUAAAUGGUUAAAAUAAAGAGA
This 703-nucleotide long non-coding RNA is filed under the name Homo sapiens (human). RNAcentral describes it as "HSALNT0226032". Lineage: Eukaryota; Metazoa; Chordata; Mammalia; Primates; Hominidae. The record is from RNAcentral.